RNAcentral lists this ribosomal RNA (370 nucleotides) under uncultured organism. RNAcentral describes it as "bacterial SSU rRNA". It matches the Rfam family "Bacterial small subunit ribosomal RNA", at positions 526 to 896 of the family's 1533-position model. The record is from RNAcentral.
CGAAGGGGGCUAGCGUUGUUCGGAAUUACUGGGCGUAAAGCGCGCGCAGGCGGCCUUCAAGUCAGAGGUGAAAGCCCAGAGCUCAACUCUGGAAUGGCCUUUGAGACUAGAGGACUUGGGUACGGGAGAGGUGAGUGGAAUUCCGAGUGUAGAGGUGAAAAUUCGUAGAUAUUCGGAAGAACACCAGUGGCGAAGGCGGCUCACUGGCCCGUUACCGACGCUCAGGCGCGACAGCGUGGGGAGCAAACAGGAUUAGAUACCCUGGUAGUCCACGCCGUAAACGAUGGAUGCUAGCCGUUGGUAAGCAUGCUUAUCAGUGGCGCAGCUAACGCAUUAAGCAUCCCGCCUGGGGAGUACGGCCGCAAGGUUG